RNAcentral lists this ribosomal RNA (381 nucleotides) under uncultured bacterium. RNAcentral's name for it is "bacterial SSU rRNA". It matches the Rfam family "Bacterial small subunit ribosomal RNA", at positions 28 to 419 of the family's 1533-position model. The record is from RNAcentral.
GAUGAACGCUGGCGGCGUGCCUAACACAUGCAAGUCGAGCGAUUUACUUCGGUAAAGAGCGGCGGACGGGUGAGUAACGCGUGGGUAACCUGCCCUGUACACACGGAUAACAUACCGAAAGGUAUGCUAAUACGAGAUAAUAUGCUUUUAUCGCAUGGUAGAAGUAUCAAAGCUUUUGCGGUACAGGAUGGACCGCGUCUGAUUAGCUAGUUGGUGAGGUAACGGCUCACCAAGGCGACGAUCAGUAGCCGACCUGAGAGGGUGAUCGGCCACAUUGGAACUGAGACACAGUCCAAACUCCUACGGGAGGCAGCAGUGGGGAAUAUUGCACAAUGGGCGAAAGCCUGAUGCAGCAACGCCGCGUGAGCGAUGAAGGCCUUC